Molecule: transfer RNA, 76 nt
Filed under: bacterium ADurb.BinA186
Lineage: Bacteria
Also listed under: 3 other names
Description: tRNA-Ala
Rfam family: tRNA
About the family: Transfer RNA (tRNA) molecules are approximately 80 nucleotides in length. Their secondary structure includes four short double-helical elements and three loops (D, anti-codon, and T loops).
Source: RNAcentral
GGGGUUGUAGCUCAGCUGGGAGAGCGCUUGAAUGGCAUUCAAGAGGUCGUCGGUUCGAUCCCGAUCAGCUCCACCA